RNAcentral lists this ribosomal RNA (329 nucleotides) under uncultured eukaryote. Its description in RNAcentral is "partial 18S ribosomal RNA". It matches the Rfam family "Eukaryotic small subunit ribosomal RNA", at positions 1470 to 1796 of the family's 1831-position model. The record is from RNAcentral.
CCCUUAGAUGUUCUGUGCUGCACGCGCGCUACACUGAAGCGUUCAACGAGUAUUUCACCUUGCCCGGGAGGGUUGGGUAAUCUUUUUAAAACGCUUCGUGAUGGGGAUAGAUUAUUGCAAUUAUUAAUCUUCAACGAGGAAUUCCUAGUAAGCGCGAGUCAUCAGCUCGUGCUGAUUACGUCCCUGCCCUUUGUACACACCGCCCGUCGCUCCUACCGAUUGAAUGGUCCGGUGAAAUCUUCGGAUCUGAGAGAUGUCUGAUUAAUUUCGGACGCCUUUUGGAAAAGUUGCUUAAACCUUACCAUUUAGAGGAAGGUGAAGUCGUAACA